AGAACAUGAGAUGGUAGCGGCAAGGCACUGAGGUGGUUCUCGGCCUGUGGCGAUGACUCAGAGAAAUCACCAAGUCACACCUGCUUGUUGGAACAAGUCAAAUAAUAAGAGGUUGGAAAAGAAGAAAAUAAGCUCUUGAGAGCGACAAUCCUGCGGCUGACUUCUCAGGUGGAGAAGGCUGGAGCGAUGACCCAGCAUGCAAGUGUGAGGACCAGAGUUCAGAUCCCCAGAAGGGAUGGAAAAGUCGGAUAGGAAAAGUCCUAAGUGAAGACCCCAGGAAUGAGAGGUGAAGGAGCCCCUCCCCCCAGCAUCGAGGUCACCAAAGGAAAAGAGCUUCAGCCUACGUAAGGGUGUCGUGAAUCUAUGUUCAACCUGAAGACAAAGCCGGGCUUCCGGAACACUAACUGUACGCUCCCAGAAACAUCUGCUCCAAGCAUCCUUCGGACGUAUUUCA
Long non-coding RNA from Peromyscus maniculatus bairdii (prairie deer mouse), 454 nucleotides. RefSeq lists it as uncharacterized. The record is from RefSeq and is a predicted model, not a curated record. Lineage: Eukaryota; Metazoa; Chordata; Mammalia; Rodentia; Cricetidae.